RNAcentral lists this ribosomal RNA (510 nucleotides) under uncultured bacterium. Its description in RNAcentral is "partial 16S ribosomal RNA". It matches the Rfam family "Bacterial small subunit ribosomal RNA", at positions 28 to 507 of the family's 1533-position model. The record is from RNAcentral.
GACGAACGCUGGCGGCGUGCUUAACACAUGCAAGUCGAACGAAGAGCGAUGGAAGCUUGCUUCUAUCAAUCUUAGUGGCGAACGGGUGAGUAACGCGUAAUCAACCUGCCCUUCUGAGGGGGACAACAGUUGGAAACGACUGCUAAUACCGCAUACGAUCUAAUCUCGGCAUCGAGGAUAGAUGAAAGGUGGCCUCUACAUGUAAGCUAUCACUGAAGGAGGGGAUUGCGUCUGAUUAGCUAGUUGGAGGGGUAACGGCCCACCAAGGCGAUGAUCAGUAGCCGGUCUGAGAGGAUGAACGGCCACAUUGGGACUGAGACACGGCCCAGACUCCUACGGGAGGCAGCAGUGGGGAAUCUUCCGCAAUGGACGAAAGUCUGACGGAGCAGCGCCGCGUGAGUGAUGACGGCCUUCGGGUUGUAAAGCUCUGUUAAUCGGGACGAAAGGCCUUCUUGCGAAUAGUGAGAAGGAUUGACGGUACCGGAAUAGAAAGCCACGGCUAACUACGUG